GACGAACGCUGGCGGCGUGCUUAACACAUGCAAGUCGAACGGAAAGGCCCUGCUUUUGUGGGGUGCUCGAGUGGCGAACGGGUGAGUAACACGUGAGUAACCUGCCCUUGACUUUGGGAUAACUUCAGGAAACUGGGGCUAAUACCGGAUAGGAGCUCCUGCUGCAUGGUGGGGGUUGGAAAGUUUCGGCGGUUGGGGAUGGACUCGCGGCUUAUCAGCUUGUUGGUGGGGUAGUGGCUUACCAAGGCUUUGACGGGUAGCCGGCCUGAGAGGGUGACCGGCCACAUUGGGACUGAGAUACGGCACAGACCCCUACGGGAGGCAGCAGUGGGGAAUAUUGCACAAUGGGCGGAAGCCUGAUGCAGCAACGCCGCGUGCGGGAUGACGGCCUUCGGGUUGUAAACCGCUUUCGCCUGUGACGAAGCGUGAGUGACGGUAAUGUGUAAAGAAGCACCGGCUAACUACGUG
This 468-nucleotide ribosomal RNA is filed under the name uncultured bacterium. RNAcentral's name for it is "partial 16S ribosomal RNA". It matches the Rfam family "Bacterial small subunit ribosomal RNA", at positions 28 to 507 of the family's 1533-position model. The record is from RNAcentral.